RNAcentral lists this ribosomal RNA (1366 nucleotides) under metagenome. RNAcentral's name for it is "bacterial LSU rRNA". It matches the Rfam family "Bacterial large subunit ribosomal RNA", at positions 1539 to 2925 of the family's 2925-position model. The record is from RNAcentral.
AAUCCGCUGCAUGAGCCGAAAGCGUGACGCGGAGCGAAAUGAAAGUAGCGAAGCAUGUGAGCCCUGUGCCGAGAAAAGCCGCUAUCGCUUUAUAUGUGCCCGUACCGUAAACCGACACAGGUGGAUGAGGAGAGAAUCCUAAGGCCGGCGGAAGAAGUAUUGUUAAGGAACUCGGCAAGAUGACCCCGUAACUUCGGGAGAAGGGGUGCCCACGGGAGUGGGCCGCAGAGAAUAGGCUCAAGCAACUGUUUAGCAAAAACACAGGUCUAUGCGAAACCGAAAGGUGAAGUAUAUGGGCUGACGCCUGCCCGGUGCUGGAAGGUUAAGAGGAGAGGUUAGAGCAAUCGAAGCUUUGAAUUUAAGCCCCAGUAAACGGCGGCCGUAACGAUAACGGUCCUAAGGUAGCGAAAUUCCUUGUCGGGUAAGUUCCGACCCGCACGAAAGGCGUAAUGAUUUGAGCACUGUCUCGACAAUACAUCCGGUGAAAUUGAAGUACCAGUGAAGAUGCUGGUUACCCGCGCCAGGACGGAAAGACCCCAUGGAGCUUUACUCCAGUUUGGUACUGGGAUUCGGUACUGCACGUACAGGAUAGGUGGGAGACUUUGAAACUUGAACGCCAGUUUGAGUGGAGUCGCUGUUGGGAUACCACCCCUGCAGUAUUGGAUUUCUAACCAGUCACCGUGAUCCGGUGAUGGGACAAUGCCAGGCGGGGAGUUUGACUGGGGCGGUCGCCUCCGAAAGGGUAUCGGAGGCGCUCAAAGGUUCCCUCAGAAUGGUCGGAAACCAUUUUCAGAGUGCAAAGGCAGAAGGGAGCUUGACUGCGACACCGGCGGGUGGAGCAGGUAGGAAACUAGGACUUAGUGAUCCGGUGGCAUAAAGUGGGAUUGCCAUCGCUCAACGGAUAAAAGCUACCCUGGGAUAACAGGCUUAUCACUCCCAAGAGUUCACAUCGACGGAGUGGUUUGGCACCUCGAUGUCGGCUCAUCGCAUCCUGGGGCUGUAGCAGGUCCCAAGGGUUGGGCUGUUCGCCCAUUAAAGCGGUACGCGAGCUGGGUUCAGAACGUCGUGAGACAGUUCGGUCCCUAUCCGGCGCGGGCGGAGGAUAUUUGAGAGGAGCUGUCCUUAGUACGAGAGGACCGGGAUGGACGGACCACUGGUGUAUCUGCUGUCGACCAACGGCAUGGCAGAGUAGCCAAGUCCGGAAGGGAUAAACGCUGAAGGCAUCUAAGCGUGAAGCCCCCCUCAAGAUGAGAUAUCCCUCACAAAAGUGAGUAAGAUCCCUUGAAGACUACAAGGUAGAUAGGGCAGAGGUGGAAGUGUGGCAACACAUGGAGCUGACUGUUACUAAUCGAUCGAGGGCUUGACC